Molecule: ribosomal RNA, 770 nt
Filed under: uncultured Alphaproteobacteria bacterium
Lineage: Bacteria; Pseudomonadati; Pseudomonadota; Alphaproteobacteria
Description: bacterial SSU rRNA
Rfam family: Bacterial small subunit ribosomal RNA
Source: RNAcentral
GCCCUUAGAGUUUGAUCAUGGCUCAGAACGAACGCUGGCGGCAGGCCUAACACAUGCAAGUCGAGCGAGGACUUCGGUCCUAGCGGCGGACGGGUGAGUAACGCGUGGGAACGUGCCCCUUGGUACGGAAUAGUCCCGGGAAACUGGGUUUAAUACCGUAUGAGCUCUUCGGAGGAAAGAUUUAUCGCCAAGGGAUCGGCCCGCGUUGGAUUAGGUAGUUGGUGGGGUAAUGGCCUACCAAGCCGACGAUCCAUAGCUGGUUUGAGAGGAUGAUCAGCCACACUGGGACUGAGACACGGCCCAGACUCCUACGGGAGGCAGCAGUGGGGAAUCUUAGACAAUGGGGGAAACCCUGAUCUAGCCAUGCCGCGUGAGCGAUGAAGGCCUUAGGGUUGUAAAGCUCUUUCGCUGGGGAAGAUAAUGACGGUACCCAGUAAAGAAGCCCCGGCUAACUCCGUGCCAGCAGCCGCGGUAAUACGGAGGGGGCUAGCGUUGUUCGGAAUUACUGGGCGUAAAGCGCGCGUAGGCGGGCUGGAAAGUUGGGGGUGAAAUCCCGGGGCUCAACCCCGGAACUGCCUCCAAAACUAUCAGCCUCGAGUUCGAGAGAGGUGAGUGGAAUUGCGAGUGUAGAGGUGAAAUUCGUAGAUAUUCGCAGGAACACCAGUGGCGAAGGCGGCUCACUGGCUCGAUACUGACGCUGAGGUGCGAAAGUGUGGGGAGCAAACAGGAUUAGAUACCCUGGUAGUCCACACCGUAAACGAUGAAUGCCA